UACGUAGGGUGCAAGCGUUAAUCGGAAUUACUGGGCGUAAAGCGUGCGCAGGCGGCUUCGCAAGACAGAUGUGAAAUCCCCGGGCUUAACCUGGGAACUGCAUUUGUGACUGCAAGGCUGGAGUGCGGCAGAGGGGGAUGGAAUUCCGCGUGUAGCAGUGAAAUGCGUAGAUAUGUGGAGGAACACCGAUGGCGAAGGCAGCCCCCUGGGUUAACACUGACGCUCAUGCACGAAAGCGUGGGGAGCAAACAGG
RNAcentral lists this ribosomal RNA (253 nucleotides) under uncultured bacterium. Its description in RNAcentral is "partial 16S ribosomal RNA". It matches the Rfam family "Bacterial small subunit ribosomal RNA", at positions 524 to 776 of the family's 1533-position model. The record is from RNAcentral.